RNAcentral lists this transfer RNA (72 nucleotides) under Camelus ferus (Wild Bactrian camel). It matches the Rfam family "tRNA". From Rfam's summary of the family: Transfer RNA (tRNA) molecules are approximately 80 nucleotides in length. Their secondary structure includes four short double-helical elements and three loops (D, anti-codon, and T loops). The record is from Rfam by way of RNAcentral. Lineage: Eukaryota; Metazoa; Chordata; Mammalia; Artiodactyla; Camelidae.
GAGGGUGUUGCUCAGAGGCAGAGCGCAUGCUUAUCAUGCAUGAGGUCAUGGGUUCGAUCCCGAGUAUUUUUG